GUGAAUCAUCGAAUCUUUGAACGCACAUUGCGCCCAUUAGUAUUCUAGUGGGCAUGCCUGUUCGAGCGUCAUUUCAACCCUUAAGCUUAGCUUAGUAUUGGGAAUCUGCUUAAAACGCAGCUCCUUAAAUCUAGUUGGCAGAGCACAUCUGUACUCUGAGCGUAGUAAUUCAUUAUCUCGCUUUCUGAAGACAGUUGUACGAUCGCCAUAAACUGUACUUGUACAAAUUUUUUAAUGGUUGACCUCGGAUCAGGUAGGAAUACCCGCUGAACUUAAGCAUAUCAAUAAGCGGAGGA
Molecule: unclassified non-coding RNA, 296 nt
Filed under: Xylariales sp.
Lineage: Eukaryota; Fungi; Ascomycota; Sordariomycetes; Xylariales
Description: partial contains 5.8S ribosomal RNA, internal transcribed spacer 2, and large subunit ribosomal RNA
Rfam family: 5.8S ribosomal RNA (bases 1-71)
Source: RNAcentral